Salvia miltiorrhiza (redroot sage) is the source of this 880-nucleotide long non-coding RNA. RefSeq lists it as uncharacterized. The transcript has 3 exons. The record is from RefSeq and is a predicted model, not a curated record. Lineage: Eukaryota; Viridiplantae; Streptophyta; Magnoliopsida; Lamiales; Lamiaceae.
UUUUUAAAUGUUUUACAGGUUGUCCGACUUAGAGCAAGGAUCCGCCCUAGCAAAAUUAAAAUUUACUUAUAAAUAAAUCUUAAAGAAUAAGAUUAAUAAAAUAAAAUACAAGAAAACUCUAGAAUAUGUUAGAUAUUAAUAUGUAAAUUGUUUAUAGUAAAAGUAUAAAUAAAUGGAAUAUUCUAGAAUUGAUUUAAUAAUUAAUAUCUAAGAUUUUUUCUUAAACAAUAAUAAAUAAUUUAAAUAUCUAGAUUAUUUUAAUUGUAAUAGAUGCAUAUAAAUACAAAAGGGAAUUAAACAUUCUUACUAAAAAAGAAAAAGAUUGCAGAAACUAUCUCUCUCUUCUCUCGCUCGCUCACCUCCAUCUUCUCUGCGUUCACCACUUUUCUUUCAUCCCUCUCUUCGUCUUCAAAUCCCAACAGCAUACUAAGUGCUAGGAGCGGCGCAUCCAAGGCUCGAGGAGGACAACCGAAGCAAGCUUGAAGAGGUUUGAAUUCAAUUACUUAAGGUUAAGGAGUUGACGGCAAGAAGGCAGACAUGGAGCUCCACAUUCUCCCGUUCUAUUAUAUGAUGAAGUAUUAUAUGUUGUUGUUUUUGGUAAAUAUAUCUUGCUACUAACCAACUUAGCCUCUUCCAAUUUUGGUGGGUCGAGACUUUAUAUAUAUUGGUUUAUGAUCAUGCAUUUUGAUGACGGCUGUGACCGAAUAUAUAUAUAUAUUUUGUUUACCGUAUGUGUAGUUACGAGCUGUGCCUCGAACACGUUAAUUAUACUUUUAAACUUGAUGGUUUUGUAUGUACUCCAUCUUUUUAUAUAUAUAAAUAUGAUGCUUAGAUAAAGUUAUUAUUGAAUGUCGUUUAUAUAACUUACAGCUUCCGUUGC